GGGGAUUUGGCGCAGUGGUAGCGCGUUUGCUUUGCAUCUUGCUAUUGCAUAAGGUCGUGGGUUCAAGCCCCACAAUCUCCA
Molecule: non-coding RNA, 81 nt
Organism: Tricholoma furcatifolium
Lineage: Eukaryota; Fungi; Basidiomycota; Agaricomycetes; Agaricales; Tricholomataceae
Source: the annotation of a GenBank genome assembly